This 253-nucleotide ribosomal RNA is filed under the name uncultured bacterium. Its description in RNAcentral is "partial 16S ribosomal RNA". It matches the Rfam family "Bacterial small subunit ribosomal RNA", at positions 524 to 776 of the family's 1533-position model. The record is from RNAcentral.
UACGUAGGUGGCAAGCGUUGUCCGGAAUUACUGGGCGUAAAGGGCGUGUAGGCGGCGAUUUAAGUCAGAUGUGAAAGAUCAGGGCUUAACCCUGGAGGUGCAUUUGAGACUGGAUGGCUUGAGGACCGGAGAGGGCAGUGGAAUUCCCAGUGUAGCGGUGAAAUACGUAGAUAUUGGGAGGAACACCAGUGGCGAAGGCGACUGCCUGGACGGCGCCUGACGCUGAGGCGCGAAAGCUAGGGGAGCAAACGGG